RNAcentral lists this ribosomal RNA (497 nucleotides) under uncultured bacterium. Its description in RNAcentral is "partial 16S ribosomal RNA". It matches the Rfam family "Bacterial small subunit ribosomal RNA", at positions 28 to 507 of the family's 1533-position model. The record is from RNAcentral.
GAUGAACGCUGGCGGCGUGCCUAAUACAUGCAAGUCGAGCGAACGGACGCGAAUCUUGCUUCUCUGAUGUUAGCGGCGGAGGGGUGAAUAACACGUGGAUAACCUCCUUAUAAGACGGGUAUAUCUUCGGGAAACCGGAGCUAAUACCGGAUGAUAUUUUGAACCGCGUGGGUGAUAAGUAAAAGACGGUCUUGCUGUCACUUAUAGAUGGAUCCGCGCUGCUUUAGGUAGUAGGUAAGGUAACGGCUUACCAAGGGAACGAUGCAUAACCGACCGCAGAGGGGGAUAGGCCACCUUGGAACUUAGACGCGGACCAGACUCCUACGGGAGGCAGCAGUAGGCAACCGUACGCAGUGGGCGAAAGUCUGACGGAACAACGCCGCGUGAGUGACGAUGGUCUCCGGAGCGUAAAACUCUGUUACUAGGGAAGAACCUAUGUGUAAGUAACUGUGCACAGAUUGACGGUAACUAAUCAGAAAGCCACGGCUAACUACGUG